Molecule: non-coding RNA, 58 nt
Organism: Aedes albopictus (Asian tiger mosquito)
Lineage: Eukaryota; Metazoa; Arthropoda; Insecta; Diptera; Culicidae
Source: Rfam
UAGCCUAGUGGUUAAGGCUAUGGAUUACCAAUCCGGAAACGGUGGGUUCAAUUCCCUU